Molecule: long non-coding RNA, 352 nt
Organism: Limanda limanda (common dab)
Lineage: Eukaryota; Metazoa; Chordata; Actinopteri; Pleuronectiformes; Pleuronectidae
Exons: 4
Source: RefSeq, a predicted model, not a curated record
UGAAUAUCAUCAGGCUGACUCUGGUGGUCGUGCUGGUUCCAGUGCUUGUCUGGACUCUGUGGACGAGGAUGAAGAAAACUCUGAGCUUGAAAUCAGAAGCGAAUGAAGCUGUGGAGAUGAUAGAGUCACACAACUGUCCUGAGUAUGAGAACGUCGCUGCUGCAGCACAGUCAGAAGACACAGAGGAGCAGGAAGACCUGGUGUGAAGCAUCAGGUGCACUGUGAUUGGUUUAUGAAAGUAUUUUGGAGGAAACCGAAGUAUCUCUCUCUCUAUCCCCGGUUGCAGCAGCAGCAGUUUGUACAGCAUGACCUUAAGAGCAAGAGUAUUGUUGUGUUGUUUCUUUUCUGAUGG